This is a long non-coding RNA of Acanthopagrus latus (yellowfin seabream), 517 nucleotides long. RefSeq lists it as uncharacterized. The transcript is spliced from 3 exons. NCBI's taxonomy places the organism in Eukaryota, Metazoa, Chordata, Actinopteri, Spariformes, Sparidae. The record is from RefSeq and is a predicted model, not a curated record.
ACACACACUAGUAUUACAUGAACACACAGCUGAACUUACUCGUUUUUAGCGCAUCGGCUCUCCAGAAACAGCUUAUCCAGCUGGAUCACCGCCUGUCCGAGGAACACGUCCAUGCCCAUGACCGCCCGGUGCAUCACGGGCGUUUCAGGCACCACCAGCGAUGUUUGCACCGUUUUCGUCACCAACUCUGUGGGCUGGAUUUUCCUAACCGAAGCACCAAAGACCCUGUUUCCUGUCUCCAGCUGUCACUGUGAAGAAGAAUUUGUUCCCAGUCGAGUUGCCCGCUUCAGUCUGUCUGAACUUACUUUGACGUGUGGCUGUGAAAGACCUUGUUCGACCUCGAGGGGCCCGUGAGGUUACGUCUGCCUUGAGAGUGACUGAUGGGAGGACUGGGCCACUUUAAUGUUGCUGCUGCUGCUGCUGCUGCUGGUGGUGGUGGUGGUGUUGUUGGUGGUGGUGAUGUAGUGCUGGACUGUGCACAAGCCUACAUGUGAGGAAAUCAAUAAAUAGUGGAUAA